AGGACGAACGCUGGGCGGCGUAGCUUAAAACAUGCAAGUCGAACGGACUUCUCAUGAAGCUUGCGAUUGAGAAGUUAGUGGCGGACGGGUGAGUAACGCGUGGGCAACCUGCCCCUGAGCCCGGGAUAACAGUUCGAAAGGACUGCUAAGACCGGAUAUACUUGCGGUGAAGCAUUUCACUGCAAGGAAAGGGAACGCUCAGGGAUGGGCCCGCGUCCCAUUAGCUAGUUGGUGAGGUAACGGCCCACCAAGGCGACGAUGGGUAGCCGGCCUGAGAGGGUGAACGGCCACACUGGGACUGAGACACGGCCCAGACUCCUACGGGAGGCAGCAGUUGGGAAUCUUCGGCAAUGGGCGCAAGCCUGACCGAGCAACGCCGCGUGAGUGAUGAAGGUUUUCGGAUUGUAAAGCUCUGUCUUCCGGGACGAUAAUGACGGUACCGGAGGAGGAAGCCACGGCUAACUACGUG
Molecule: ribosomal RNA, 469 nt
Filed under: uncultured bacterium
Lineage: Bacteria
Description: bacterial SSU rRNA
Rfam family: Bacterial small subunit ribosomal RNA
Source: RNAcentral